GCUCACGCCUGUAAUCCCAGCACUUUGGGAGGCCGAGGUGGGAGGAUCACGAGGUCAGGAGAUCGAGACCAUCCUGGCUAACACACUGAAAACCCGUCUCUACUAAAAAUACAAAAAAUUAGCCAAGUGUGGUGGCGGGUGCCUGUAGUCCCAGCUACUCGAGAGGCUGAGGCAGGAGAAUGGUGUGAACUUGGGAGGCGGAGCUUGCAGUGAGCCGAGAUCGUGCCACUGCACUCCAGCCUGGGCGACAGGGCAAGACUCCAUCUCAAAGGAAAAAAAAAAAAACUUUAUUCUUUUCCUCCUCACUUCAAUAAACUAGUCUAAAAAAAAUAACUCCUUCAGUGGUGGCUAGAGAAUUGUUAAUGUAGCUAAAUCCUUGCAUUUCUCAAAGACUCAAACCAGACACAGUAUUCGCAUAUUUCACUGCUUAAAGUCUUUAACUAGUACCUCCAGAAACGUGUUUAUAUUCAGAAAAUGAUUCAUCUCUAGGAAGAAGGAAAAACAAGGAGGUUACAAAGGUAACAAACAAAAUUUAAAAUGUAAAAUGUUUGCAAAAGCUUCCAGGCCACAUAAUCCUGUGAGUUUCCUUUAUCCUUAAUUAGGUCAGCUUUUGAUACUUCCAUCAUUUUUUCAGCAUUUUCUUUUUCAAUACUGCUGCCCCAGAAUCCCAUUUGCAGUUUUAAUUGACCUACUUAAUUAGGAUUUGGAACACUCAGACAGAAGAGUGUGUUGUCUUCAUUCUGUUUUGCUCAAUAGACCUUAUAAAUAAAUUGAAUUUCUAAUUCUGUUUGUUAAAAACCAGGCACCUUAGGCAAUUCCAAGACCCAAAUAUUCAGGUUUAAUUAUGG
Molecule: long non-coding RNA, 848 nt
Filed under: Homo sapiens (human)
Lineage: Eukaryota; Metazoa; Chordata; Mammalia; Primates; Hominidae
Description: HSALNT0346084
Source: RNAcentral